Molecule: ribosomal RNA, 468 nt
Filed under: uncultured bacterium
Lineage: Bacteria
Description: partial 16S ribosomal RNA
Rfam family: Bacterial small subunit ribosomal RNA
Source: RNAcentral
GACGAACGCUGGCGGCGUGCUUAACACAUGCAAGUCGAACGGAAAGGCCCUGCUAUUGUGGGGUGCUCGAGUGGCGAACGGGUGAGUAACACGUGAGUAACCUGCCCUGGACUUUGGGAUAACUUCAGGAAACUGGGGCUAAUACCGGAUAGGAGCUCCUGCAGCAUGGUGGGGGUUGGAAAGUUUCGGCGGUUGGGGAUGGACUCGCGGCUUAUCAGCUUGUUGGUGGGGUAGUGGCUUACCAAGGCUUUGACGGGUAGCCGGCCUGAGAGGGUGACCGGCCACAUUGGGACUGAGAUACGGCCCAGACUCCUACGGGAGGCAGCAGUGGGGAACAUUGCACAAUGGGCGGAAGCCUGAUGCAGCAACGCCGCGUGCGGGAUGACGGCCUUCGGGUUGUAAACCGCUUUCGCCUGCGACGAAGCGUGAGUGACGGUAAUGGGUAAAGAAGCACCGGCUAACUACGUG